Long non-coding RNA from Cyprinodon tularosa, 1472 nucleotides. RefSeq lists it as uncharacterized. The record is from RefSeq and is a predicted model, not a curated record. The transcript has 4 exons. Lineage: Eukaryota; Metazoa; Chordata; Actinopteri; Cyprinodontiformes; Cyprinodontidae.
UGUGUCGUGUGGUUCACUCUUUCACUCUUUCCAAACAGGAGCACAACCAACAGAAAAGGAAGCCAAAAGAUGUUCAAAAAAUUAAAUAAGCUUCCUAAAGAAGGAACUAAAGAAGCCGAUGAAAAAUGGGUGAAAGGGAAACUAAAAAAGCUUAAGGUUGAGAAACACACUACAGGUGAAACCUUUGGGGCAGAUGAAGCUUUGAUGAAAAAAAUUGCUAAGAAGUUCAAGGGAGUGAAAACAAAGAAGAUGAAGCAACACUACACUAUCGUUUUCUGUCCCAUCACAUCUCGUGUUGGAUCAGAUGUGGAGGCAGCCUUGGAAACUGUGAAAAAGGACCAAAAUAUUAUCCUGGUUUUGAUGCACCACACACGGGAUACUGACUACUCAACUGCUGGGAUUGACUGGUCUGAAACCACCAAUAAUGUUUGCCUGGAUGUUCAUGUUCUCUUCCAUGAAACCUUUGCAGGUUUGCUGUUCUGUCCACAGAAUGAGCAGGCAGUAGAUGAAAUUAAAAAAUUCUUACGAAAAAGCUCACAAGGUAAUGAUAAAACAAAACGAAACAAAAAAAUAAAGCAGAAAAAACCAAAAGGCAACCAACCCAAAUCCUAGAAUGUUGAUAAAUAAAUAUGAAAAAAAAAAUUAAUUUUGAAAUUCAAAAAAACUGAAAUGUUAUUUUAUUGUAGGAUCAAAAUGGGUAAAAAUGUAUAUAAAAAUAUGUAGUUAAACAUGCUAUUUCUGGCAACAACCAGGGUUGCUCAGCUUUGGCCCCAAAACAGGGAUAGAUAGAAAAGAAGAUCAUGUCGGUUCACAUUUUUUUUUAGGGCAAAACUAUUCUUUGUAGCAUAAAUAUAAUUUUUUAUUCUCCUACAGCCCCUCUGUUUGCUCAUGUUUCUGUUUUGUCUUUUUGCUUCUAUUAGUCAAAUUACCUUAAGUCAGUGGCUUCAUUUUAUUAUUUUAAAUGGGGCAUGCAGGUGGCGCAGUGUUUAGUGUGCACCACCCAUGUACGGAUGCUUUCGUGGGUUUGAAUCCAGCCUGUGGUCCAUUGUUGCAUGUCUCUCCCCUUCUCUCAUAACCCCCUUCCUGUCAGCCUACUGUCAGAAAAAACAAGCCACUAGUGCCCUAAAAAAAAAGAAAAAAUUAUGUAUAAAUGCACAUGGACUUUUUUUCUGUAUGGUUCUUGAUUUCCUGUUAUGCUGGUGUACUUCUUAGCGCUUGACACUGGACCACUUGGGUGUCCAACCAAACUUCAUUCUUAAGGAAUCAUUUUAGUAUAACCACCUGGACAACACCAUUGCUGGUUAAAGUGUACACAUUGAUUUUAAUAAUCUGGGUUACUUGCACUGGCCACACCACACCGCACAGCAGUCAGAGUGAUGCUAGGAAUUAUUUAGGUUCGGCGAUCCUGUGUCAAGCCCCCAAAUAAACAGGAAAAGCCCGGCACCAGACAGAAAAGAAUUAUAAGAUUCAUU